This 438-nucleotide ribosomal RNA is filed under the name uncultured bacterium. RNAcentral describes it as "bacterial SSU rRNA". It matches the Rfam family "Bacterial small subunit ribosomal RNA", at positions 30 to 462 of the family's 1533-position model. The record is from RNAcentral.
AUUGAACGCUGGCGGCAGGCCUAACACAUGCAAGUCGAACGGUAACAGGAAGCAGCUUGCUUUUUUGCUGACGAGUGGCGGACGGGUGAGUAAUGUCUGGGAAACUGCCUGAUGGAGGGGGAUAACUACUGGAAACGGUAGCUAAUACCGCAUAACGUCGCAAGACCAAAGAGGGGGACCUUCGGGCCUCUUGCCAUCGGAUGUGCCCAGAUGGGAUUAGCUAGUAGGUGGGGUAACGGCUCACCUAGGCGACGAUCCCUAGCUGGUCUGAGAGGAUGACCAGCCACACUGGAACUGAGACACGGUCCAGACUCCUACGGGAGGCAGCAGUGGGGAAUAUUGCACAAUGGGCGCAAGCCUGAUGCAGCCAUGCCGCGUGUAUGAAGAAGGCCUACGGGUUGUAAAGUACUUUCAGCGGGGAGGAAGGGAGUAAAGUUA